Molecule: long non-coding RNA, 34461 nt
Filed under: Chlamydomonas reinhardtii
Lineage: Eukaryota; Viridiplantae; Chlorophyta; Chlorophyceae; Chlamydomonadales; Chlamydomonadaceae
Description: long non-coding RNA (CREI_LNC000068)
Source: RNAcentral
CGAGCCGCCCAGCCCCGCGCCUGGCGUACCUCCGCCGUCGCCUGCGCCGCCCAGCCCCGCGCCUGGCGUGCCUCCGCCAUCGCCUGUUCCGCCCAGCCCUGCCCCCGGCGUGCCUCCGCCGUCGCCUGCGCCGCCCAGCCCCGCGCCUGGCGUGCCUCCGCCGUCGCCUGCGCCGCCCAGCCCCUCGCCUGGCGUGCCUCCGCCGUCGCCUGCGCCGCCCAGCCCCUCGCCUGGCGUGCCUCCGCCAUCGCCCGAGCCGCCCAGCCCCGCGCCUGGCGUGCCUCCGCCGUCGCCCGAGCCGCCCAGCCCCGCGCCUGGCGUGCCUCCGCCAUCGCCUGAGCCGCCCAGCCCCGCGCCUGGCGUGCCUCCGCCAUCGCCCGAGCCGCCCAGCCCCGCGCCUGGCGUGCCUCCGCCGUCGCCUGCGCCGCCCAGCCCCUCGCCUGGCGUGCCUCCGCCAUCGCCCGAGCCGCCCAGCCCCGCGCCUGGCGUGCCUCCGCCGUCGCCCGAGCCGCCCAGCCCCGCGCCUGGCGUGCCUCCGCCGUCGCCCGAGCCGCCCAGCCCCGCGCCUGGCGUGCCUCCGCCAUCGCCUGAGCCGCCCAGCCCCGCGCCUGGCGUGCCUCCGCCGUCGCCCGAGCCGCCCAGCCCCGCGCCUGGCGUGCCUCCGCCGUCGCCUGCGCCGCCCAGCCCCGCGCCUGGCGUGCCUCCGCCGUCGCCUGCGCCGCCCAGCCCCGCGCCUGGCGUGCCUCCGCCGUCGCCCGAGCCGCCCAGCCCCGCGCCUGGCGUGCCUCCGACGUCGCCUGCGCCGCCCAGCCCCGCGCCUGGCGUGCCUCCGCCGUCGCCUGCGCCGCCCAGCCCUGCCCCCGGCGUGCCUCCGCCGUCGCCCGAGCCGCCCAGCCCCGCGCCUGGCGUACCUCCGCCGUCGCCUGCGCCGCCCAGCCCCGCGCCUGGCGUACCUCCGCCGUCGCCUGCGCCGCCCAGCCCUGCCCCCGGCGUGCCUCCGCCGUCGCCUGCGCCGCCCAGCCCCGCGCCUGGCGUGCCUCCGCCUUCGCCCGAGCCGCCCAGCCCCGCGCCUGGCGUGCCUCCGCCAUCGCCCGAGCCGCCCAGCCCCGCGCCUGGCGUGCCUCCGCCGUCGCCUGCGCCGCCCAGCCCCUCGCCUGGCGUGCCUCCGCCAUCGCCCGAGCCGCCCAGCCCCGCGCCUGGCGUGCCUCCGCCGUCGCCUGCGCCGCCCAGCCCCUCGCCUGGCGUGCCUCCGCCAUCGCCCGAGCCGCCCAGCCCCGCGCCUGGCGUGCCUCCGCCGUCGCCCGAGCCGCCCAGCCCCGCGCCUGGCGUGCCUCCGCCAUCGCCCGAGCCGCCCAGCCCCGCGCCUGGCGUGCCUCCGCCGUCGCCUGCGCCGCCCAGCCCCGCGCCUGGCGUGCCUCCGCCGUCGCCUGCGCCGCCCAGCCCCGCGCCUGGCGUGCCUCCGCCGUCGCCUGCGCCGCCCAGCCCCGCGCCUGGCGUGCCUCCGCCGUCGCCCGAGCCGCCCAGCCCCGCGCCUGGCGUGCCUCCGACGUCGCCUGCGCCGCCCAGCCCCGCGCCUGGCGUGCCUCCGCCGUCGCCUGCGCCGCCCAGCCCUGCCCCCGGCGUGCCUCCGCCGUCGCCCGAGCCGCCCAGCCCCGCGCCUGGCGUACCUCCGCCGUCGCCUGCGCCGCCCAGCCCCGCGCCUGGCGUACCUCCGCCGUCGCCUGCGCCGCCCAGCCCUGCCCCCGGCGUGCCUCCGCCGUCGCCUGCGCCGCCCAGCCCCGCGCCUGGCGUGCCUCCGCCUUCGCCCGAGCCGCCCAGCCCUGCCCCCGGCGCCACUCCGCCGUCGCCCGAGCCGCCCAGCCCCUCGCCUGGCGUGCCNNNNNNNNNNNNNNNNNNNNNNNNNNNNNNNNNNNNNNNNNNNNNNNNNNNNNNNNNNNNNNNNNNNNNNNNNNNNNNNNNNNNNNNNNNNNNNNNNNNNNNNNNNNNNNNNNNNNNNNNNNNNNNNNNNNNNNNNNNNNNNNNNNNNNNNNNNNNNNNNNNNNNNNNNNNNNNNNNNNNNNNNNNNNNNNNNNNNNNNNNNNNNNNNNNNNNNNNNNNNNNNNNNNNNNNNNNNNNNNNNNNNNNNNNNNNNNNNNNNNNNNNNNNNNNNNNNNNNNNNNNNNNNNNNNNNNNNNNNNNNNNNNNNNNNNNNNNNNNNNNNNNNNNNNNNNNNNNNNNNNNNNNNNNNNNNNNNNNNNNNNNNNNNNNNNNNNNNNNNNNNNNNNNNNNNNNNNNNNNNNNNNNNNNNNNNNNNNNNNNNNNNNNNNNNNNNNNNNNNNNNNNNNNNNNNNNNNNNNNNNNNNNNNNNNNNNNNNNNNNNNNNNNNNNNNNNNNNNNNNNNNNNNNNNNNNNNNNNNNNNNNNNNNNNNNNNNNNNNNNNNNNNNNNNNNNNNNNNNNNNNNNNNNNNNNNNNNNNNNNNNNNNNNNNNNNNNNNNNNNNNNNNNNNNNNNNNNNNNNNNNNNNNNNNNNNNNNNNNNNNNNNNNNNNNNNNNNNNNNNNNNNNNNNNNNNNNNNNNNNNNNNNNNNNNNNNNNNNNNNNNNNNNNNNNNNNNNNNNNNNNNNNNNNNNNNNNNNNNNNNNNNNNNNNNNNNNNNNNNNNNNNNNNNNNNNNNNNNNNNNNNNNNNNNNNNNNNNNNNNNNNNNNNNNNNNNNNNNNNNNNNNNNNNNNNNNNNNNNNNNNNNNNNNNNNNNNNNNNNNNNNNNNNNNNNNNNNNNNNNNNNNNNNNNNNNNNNNNNNNNNNNNNNNNNNNNNNNNNNNNNNNNNNNNNNNNNNNNNNNNNNNNNNNNNNNNNNNNNNNNNNNNNNNNNNNNNNNNNNNNNNNNNNNNNNNNNNNNNNNNNNNNNNNNNNNNNNNNNNNNNNNNNNNNNNNNNNNNNNNNNNNNNNNNNNNNNNNNNNNNNNNNNNNNNNNNNNNNNNNNNNNNNNNNNNNNNNNNNNNNNNNNNNNNNNNNNNNNNNNNNNNNNNNNNNNNNNNNNNNNNNNNNNNNNNNNNNNNNNNNNNNNNNNNNNNNNNNNNNNNNNNNNNNNNNNNNNNNNNNNNNNNNNNNNNNNNNNNNNNNNNNNNNNNNNNNNNNNNNNNNNNNNNNNNNNNNNNNNNNNNNNNNNNNNNNNNNNNNNNNNNNNNNNNNNNNNNNNNNNNNNNNNNNNNNNNNNNNNNNNNNNNNNNNNNNNNNNNNNNNNNNNNNNNNNNNNNNNNNNNNNNNAGCCACCCAGCCCUGCGCCGCCGCCGACCCCGCCUUCGCCUGCGCCACCCAGCCCUGCGCCUCGGUUGCCUCCAAACCCUGCACCUCCCUCGCCAGUGCCUCCAUCGCCUGCGCCACCUAGCCCGGAGCCUCCGAGCCCUACGCCUACGGGACCUCCAAACCCUGCUCCUUACUCGCCCUCGCCACCUACCCCUGCGCCGCCGUCGCCUGUUCCACCCAGCCCUGCGCCGCUGGAACCUCCAAAUCCCACACCUGCCUCGCCUGAGCCUCCCAGCCCUUCCCCGCUAUCGCCAACUUCCCCCAGCCCUGCGCCUGUGGAGCCUCCGAGCCCCGCGCCUCUCUCACCAGAGCCGCCUAUCUUAGCGCCACCAUCGCCGGCACCGCCCAGUCCCGCGCCUUUGACGCCGCCCAGCCCAUCUCCGUUGCCUCCACCAGUUACGAUUUGCGCAUCUUGCGUGGAAUUCCAGCUGAGUAACAGCCCUUUCGCAUCGACUUCCUUCACGUUUGAUUCAAGCACAUGUGCCAGCCUGGAGGCCUUGGUUGCUGACGAUCUUGACCUACUUCUUACUGGGAGCGGAUUGGUAGUUGAGACGCCUUUUGCGAUCUCAAUAUGUGAUUCGACCGCCGUUCGUAUUUGCGGGGCUUAUAGCCCUUCGUCGGUCAUUGACAUAUCACUUGAUCUGGAGCUUUGGCUGGAAGCUGCAAGCGCAAGCAAUGUCUGCAACGGGGUGUCCAUCCGUGCAGGGGCCAUUUUAGACCCGAACUUUACUACCGGCUCUGCUUCACCUGUAUGUUUGACUGGAGCUGCGCAACGCGACUGUGCGCUCGAAUUGCCGCCCUCUCCGGACCCUCCGUCUCCCGAGCCACCCUCUUCGCCGGCUCCGCCGCCACCGGCCACCAUUGCCUCAUUCUUACCUCCACCGCCUCCUCCACCGCCACCUGAGAGCCCGCCGCCACCACCUCCACCGCCACCCGAUACCCCGCCACAGCCUCCACCUUCGCCGCCGCCACCGCCACCCGACGCUCCUCCUCCACCCCCGCCGGAUGCGCCGCCCCUGCCCCCAAGCCCGCCUCCACCACCUUCACCACCUCCACCUCGCCCGCCGCCGACCGGCCAGGUGCGUGCUUACCUGUUUGUUGAGCGCUUCCCUUCACCACCGCCACCUCGCCCGGAGGAUGUAGAUGAUGUUGCAUUCUUUACUGACAAAACCGCGUUUCUUCUGAUCUUUCUUUCAGGGCCUUUUUGGGCAGCCCCCUCUUCGAAACAUUCCGCCGUUUGCGCCGGAUGCACCACCGCCCUCAGCACCGCCGCAAGAUUGUGCUUAUAAAGGCCCAUCCACCGCUACGGACGGGUGAGUUUCGGGGGCGGCAGGCACGGAAAAUGUUGUGGGGUCAUUCGCUCGCUCCCAGGCUCUUUCGCUGCAGUCACUUGAUCGAAGCGCCUGUAUACAUGUUGAUCGCCACUGGUGCUCCUAACCUGCAAUCUCCCUCGCACUGCCUAGCUCUUACUGUGUCCACACGCACGCACGCAGGGCCCCUCCUGGAUCUCGGUCGUGUGGAAUGCAGGCCUCAUGCCUAGACGUCAUAAUGGACUCCUCGGAAUGCAUGUACCGUACAACAACCGGUCGCAAGUAUUUGUGUAAGCGCCGAUUAAUGCAUGAUGCCAUGUUGUUUUGUCUAAUUGAAACCGUCUUAUCAAAACCCAAAGAAAAUGUUAAAGCCGCCCUGCGCAUGCAUUCAUGUUUAGGGAGCCUGCCGCGUGAUGUCUCGUUCGUCGCCCCAUACGUGCGUGCAGAUUGCCCCGUGCACUUGACGUAUCCGCGUGAGGGGAGCAUGUGCGAGAUUACCUCCGCCGCGAGGGCGUCAUCACCGCCGCCCAGCGGGCGCAACCGCGGCGGCAGCACCACUGCCGCCGGCGGUGACACCAGGGCCAGCACGGGCGCCAUCGUUGCGGCGGGCAGCAGCAGCAGUAGCAGCGCCGGAACCAGCGCCGUCGAGAUUGUCGAAAUUGACAUCGCCUACUCAGACGUGCUCGUAUGCGCCGGGGACCGGCUGGGAACCGUCAUCGAGGGCCCCGGCGGAGUGCCUGUACCCGGGGGCGUCAACCAGGUGAGCCUGGAAGCUGGGGGCGGCAGGGGAACACAUGAUGUCCUCCGCGACCGCCGCCACCGCGGCGUUGGCAGAAGCAUUCCCAGCAUUACGCGGAUGCAGCAUGCGCGCCUUUAGUUGUUCCACGGAUUAUCAGCGAGAGGCAUGCAUGCACGCAGGCCGACACAUGUACUUGGCUCGCUCGCCAGCACACAAGCCCUCUUUCCACUUUCCGCCCUACCUUCUCAUCAACGCACUGCAGGUCAUGUGGCUUCCCUCGUCCAACUACACGCAAUGGGCACGCUGGGAAGCUGACGAUCUGUCCCCUGCGCUGAUCACGUUCUCCAUCCGCAACGGCAACAAGGCAUGCGCGGCAAACAGCAACCCGACCCAGAUCCUGGUCAACGGUGCGUUUUAUUUGGCUGCUGGUUUUGCUGGCACGGUUUGCUGGCAUGACCCUUAGUUGCUUGCGAUGGUGGACUCCUGCUGGAUGCAUGAAACCUUGAGAAUCAAAAGCAGAAACCGCAGACCAAUAUAAAUGCCCACCUGAAAGCUCUUAUCUAUUUCAUCUGAAGAACAACGCAACCCACGCAGGCAUGACGGCCACGUGCAGCAAUCCACGCUAUGAUCCAGACAGCGGCGCAGUGGCAGGCUGCCAGUCCAAUGACGGCACCGUAUUUAACGAAUGGUGAGCAUAAAAAUAAUAAAUAAUAAGGAAAAGAGGCGGCGGGUCAGAGUCAGCCGGCCCUGCCGGCGAUGUCCGAGAAAUGAGGUACCUGCUGUUGCCUCAGACAUUACACCUGAUUACACCUGGCGUGGGCGCGCGCGGCGCAGCCCACUUUUCCUGUGAGAGGCAGAGCACUUGUCAACGAAUGGGUGAUUGACGCAGGAUUCUUUGAAGCGCACUUUCACGUUCUCGUUUCCGUCUCUGACUUCCAUCCACCCCACCACUGCCAAUUCUGACAUGCCUCGCUUCUCCUGCCCUUCAGCCUCUGGACCAUCACCGUCCCACGCCCCGGCGGCAUUGGCUGGACGUCUGCCGUGUGCGUAAGAGACUCGCCCAGCCCGCCCUCCCCCGCACCCAGGCCACCGCCGCGCCCCGGCGCCAGCCCAAACAUCCGGGCGCCUGCUGCUCCGCCCGACCCCUGCGUGCUUCAGGGUCCUUCCAGCGAUGGGGGCGGCCUUUCCAACGCAAUCGCAUGCGGCACCCAGGGUUCGUGCCUGGACAUCUACUACAACAGCGCCGACUGCAAAUACCAAACCCUGAGCGGUGAUCCGUUCGCUUCCCAGCAGUACUUAAUGUGCCCAAUCUGCCUAACCUUUCCUCGACCGGGAUCGCCUUGCGCGCUGAAUGCGCUCACUCCUAUUGACUACGUGUGCGCCGGCGAUGAGAACUCCCUCGUGAUUGACGGCGUGACGGGGCAGCCAGUCGUGGGUGGCGGGAACAUCAAGCGCGGCUGGGAGGAGGGCACGCGCUACUGCCAAUGGGCGCGAUGGUCCAGCGACGACAUGGCCCCACAGACAAUCGCAUUCAGGUGCGUGUAGGGCGCGGGCACGGAUGGGUGCGGGGCCUUGCAUGCACGCACCUGAUGUAUGAUGAAACGAUUAUUACGCUCUGCGCUUGCGCGGUUUUGCUUGCAGCAUCAAGAAUGGCGCCAACCGUUGCAUACGGCGCAACAGCAUCGACAUUACAGUGCGCGGCUUGACGGCGUCAUGCGGCGCACCCCGUGUAAACCCAUUCAAUGGCUUCGCGGGCUGCGCGGGCAAUGACGACGUGGACAAUGAGUGUCUGUGGAACAUCACGGUACGCUAACGAGGGGCAGGCGUGGACGGGAGCGGAUUGGAUGGAAACAAGCGCGCGCGAGGCCAAGGCUUGUCUUGGGACCCACUGACAUCUGCGCCGAUAACAUCUGCGCUGCUUAACCGUGUGCACAUCUGGUUCCUGUUAGCUGUGGGCUGCCAAUAGCUUGCUCCAAGUCGUUUGGAAUUGUGGUAGCGCUCUCACCAAGGACGUGCGUGCGUGCUCGCUUGUCGUGGAUUGCAUGCAGGUGCCACGCCCCGGUGGAGUGGGCUGGACAGGGAAUGUGUGCGUCACGCCGCCGCCACCCAUGCCACCGUCUCCAAAGCCGCCACGCCCGGGCGCGAAGCCCAGCAAGGGCAAUCCGCCCGUACCGCCCUCUCCGACCCCUCCGCGCCCGCCCAAGCCAGUUGCAAAGCCUGGAGGCAGAAGUCCAGCCAACCUCGUCCCACCACCGCCACCACCGCCCUCUUCGCACCGAAUACCGUUUCCUUUCUGCGCGUAAGUUUUGGUAUUGCGCCAUAAGGGUUGCUGGGAUUCUUGGCAUUCUUGCUGUACGUGCUUGCGUGCGCACUUGGUACGUUCUUUGUGCGGUAUACGGUACGAAUGUGUUUAUCUCGGUAUGUGUACGUGUGUUGAAAAAACCAACAAAACAAGGCCCGCCCGUGUACGUGUGUGUGUGUAUGUGUGCGGAAGCGCUUGCAAACCUGUAUGGCCAUCCUCGACCGUAACUUACCUACCAUAACCAACAGGUGCAAGAAGCGGAGCCCUCGCAACGCGCCCUAUCGGCUCGUGUACCGCAACACUACACAGCUCGCGACGCUCUCUGACGGUUUGGCUCGGAAGCGACACUGCUUCUCAGUCGAGGUGACGCCUUGUGACGAGACAACCUCCUGCUGCGGCAUGGGCAUAAAAAAGAUCGGUAAGCUCCCCGUCGUCAUUGCAUGACUCAAAGGAAAGGAAGGGAAGGGCUUCACGGAAGGGCUUCGGGUUUCCGCCCAUCGACGGCUUCCUCCUCAAUCAAGUCCUCAUGAUGCAGACACUUCCAUGUGCCCUCCACUGAGUCAUGCCGCCCAACCUUAUGUGCUGGUGUGCAGAAUUGUUUGCCAGGAAUGAGUGCCGCAAGUCGGUUCGUCUGGUGCUGGUUGACGGGAUGAGCGUCAGCUGGUCGUUUACCCAGGUACUUAUAUACUCUUGACCCGACACUGCUUGUACUUGACCUGACACAACUUCAGCACCAGUGCGUGUGUUACAACACAUUGCAAACGAGGACUUGCAGCAUUCGCUGCGUGCAGCAGCUUACACAAACGAACGCGGCUUCUACCAAAAAUCCACUCGCCCCAACCACCCACCUCCACGGCGGUGGUACGGCCUACUUUACACCACCCGUAACCCCCUUGCUCACCGCCGCCUCAUCCUUUCAACGCGACAACAAACCCAUCUUCAGGACGUGUUCCAAUCUGCCACCUACACCACCUUCAAGCUGCCCACACUGACCAUGAGCCGCGUGGACGUGGGCAGUGGCUUCGACGUGUGCAUGCAGGUCAUAGAGCCCUGCGCCAGCCUGGAGGUGCGUGCAUGGGUGGGUGGGCGGGCGGGCGGGGAGGAUAGGGCCGCCGUGCGUGUUUGCUUGUAUGUUGUUCGCCUACUGACCCCUCAUCUGUCACCCGCAGGACUUCUGCUGGGGCGACUCCGGCAGCUGCAGAUCAACAUUUUUCUCGCUGGAUGAGCAAUGCUGGUAGGUGGAGGACGGAUGUGGGCAGCAGCAAGCAGGCAGGGGGAAAGGGCGGGGCGGCUACACUCUGGGAAAAGGGGGGUCACAAUUACCGGAAAAACGGGGGGUAAUUUACCGGAGAAAGGUGCCCGGUUGCCAAACCCGGAUUUCCUGAAACGUCCAGUACAUUUUUGCGGGGUAGUUGGUUCCGGUAAAGUUGUAAAGCUUUCCGGUAAACGGGUAAAGUUUUGCCCUUGUCCGGUAACAUAUGUUUUUCCGGGGAAGAUCCUUUCCCAGAGUAGUGGUACGUGCACGUACGUUCCCAAAUGUACGUGGGGCAUACUGCAUGCAGAAGUUGGUCCGUACUACUGUGAGUGCUGCUGCCGGCCCGGCCUGUUGCUCAAUGAAAUGCUUGACACCAACCGCUUUGCUGCUGCAUGCCCAUGCUUUAUUUCCACACGCAGUCCCACGGGUGAUACCGUGUUUGGCGCCGCGCCAUCCAGGAGCCCAGAUCCCGAGGGCGCGCCUCCCCCCGUCAUGGAGGUAGGUGUGUGGUCUUGCUUGGUGUGUGGGGUGCGUGCGCAGGUUUUCAUUGGGUGAAUGUAAUUGUUGGGUGCAUGCGUGCUCACCAUGAUGGCUGUUAGACCUUUGUUUGAGGUUCCCACCCAUGCGGCCAUACACCCGCUCAUCCUGCAGGUGGAGGUCGGUCGCAGACUUCGCAGGGCCACCUAGCAAUGUUACAUUGCCUUGAGUAGUUUAUCCUAGAGAACUGGCAGGAGGGGAUGAUCUAAGCGCCCGAAUGUACGAUGGCUUGGAAGUGAGCUUCUUAUUUUGGGUGCACUUAUGUGUGUCAUCGAUGUUAGUGAUUACCUCUGGACUGCAGUGUUGAUGUCGGGGUGGAUCCAUGGACGGAUGUACAUUGGCAGCAAGAAUGUUGAUUGCCCCCUUACUUACUUUCCUUUAUUCCAGUGUAGCGGUUAGCACAGUUUAUUCAGGGCGGGUGGGCCUUACCAACACAGCAGUCCGCCAUCCAUCAUGCAAUGGGCCAAGGGGUUUGUUUGUGUUACUACGUACGUACGCACUACAGCAUAUUAUCAGCGCCACAAAACGCACCUCUUCCAAUUGUGUGUGUGUGUGUGUGUGUGUGUGUGUGUGUGUGUGUGUGUGUGUGUGUGUGUGUAUGUGUGUAUGUGUGUGUGUAUGUGUGUGCGUGUGUGUGUGUGUGUGUGUGUGGAUGUGUGUGUGUGUGGAUGUGUGUGUGUGUGGCGCCCGUUUGUGGUGAUUAUUAAACUCUUCUGAACAUCGAUAGUAACGCAGACUGUAAGAUGUGUUACUCUAGAAUGACUUGUUGUGUGUGGUUACAAGGUGGUGAGCACGACGUGCAUUCCUGUCCUUGUAGAAACCGAGGCCCGGGCCGGGGGGCCCUUAUAACGCCUGACUUAUGUGAACGUGCGUGUGUUUCGAGCUCAUCUACAUACCCGCAUUGCUUGCCCGCAUUGUCCUGGCCUGCUGCGGCAGCAUAUCCUUAAUUGCCUUUUUAUGAAGGCGGCCAUCGUGUUACAUAUUAUAAACUUAUAAUACCGCCCAAAAAUUAUGAAGGGUUCUGUGUAAGCUAUCAUAGCUGGCAGGUAGGCAACAGGCACAAGUAUGGUGAAGCUGAUGUGGUUUCCAACCGUCCUCGCUCUGCAUCCGCCGGCCGUGCGGAGUUGGGACCGGCGGCGCCUGUCAACCCAGGGCCGGCCCCCGGCUCUCCUUGUGUAAUUGUAUCGGUCCAACAUGCAUCAGUCCAAACGCACCGGGAUAGGUGGAACCAUACCUUUGCUUGGUCGGACUGUCCGUCUGUCCCUUCUUAUAUUGUCGCAUUCAUACCAGGGGGUAAGCGGGGGAAUACAUACGUAGGAACAUACUUUUCCGACUCCCCAACCGAACCCCCCUUCCUAGUGGUCUUCUGACAUCGGUGCGGCUGCCGGGGCGGGGGUGAGCGCUUGGGUUGUGCCUUCUGUCCCCAACCUGCCCCAACAAAACUUUCUGCCGCCCGCGGGGUGGGGGGCGGGGGCUGACGGGCGGGUGGGGAAGACACAUAGUUUAGACCCAUAGUUUAGACGCCAAACACAUAGUUCAGACACAAAUGAUAGAAGCCAUUCCCGUUGCUGGUGGUGUGGUGUAUCGCGGCGGCAACGGUCCGCGCGGCGGCCACUGGGACCGUGCGACAAACCGCCUGCUGAACUGCCUCGUCCGUGGCGGUGCCUCGCAGUAUGCCUGGGAGGCCAGGGCCCGUAGGACUGCACUACUAAGGCUGGUCAUCAUCACUGCCACGUUUUGUGCUGAACCGCACCGAAACUUCUGUUGUGCCUGCCGCCCACGAAAGCCCUGCUACUUAAAGGAGUGGCGCCGCAAGCGAUGAAGGAGUCAAUCAGCUUGGCAGGGGCAGGAGGCCAUGCGAGCUACGGUAGUACAAUCACGCUGUAGCAAUGCAGGGGGGGGAUAAACUUGCAAGCAAGGGUUUGACCGAUGCCUGAAAUCGAUAGAGCUCAAGCGUGGGUGGUGCAGGCAGGCGCGUACAAAGUUUCGUGGGUGGUGCAGGCAGGCGCGCAUAAAGUUUCGUGGGGUGGUGCAAGCACACAGACGUAGGCAGACGUUAAGUCGUGGGUCCAGGGAUGGGGGAACCGUACGUAUGGCCCAUGCAGGUAGGGGCAUGCGCGUGCAGCCACAAUUGCCCAAAUUGCCGAGCUUCACAGCUCACACGCAUACACGCAAUAAAUGGCGAAACAUUAAGCACAUCUGUUUCAAUGACUCCAGCACCUCAGCUGCUCCAAAGGCAGCAAGCCUCACACGGCCGCUCUCGCUUUGCCACUCCUGUUCGCCGGCUUAGGUUUGUUUCGAAUACGCAUGCGCUGCAUGCGUCUGACGGGCCUAGCCCCAGUGGCCGGCACUGUUCCGGUGACUCGCCAGCUCUGCAAGCGGACUUGCUCGAUGUAGGCGGAGCUGCAAAGCUCAUUACGGCAGCCGCUAUAGUAUGCCAUUUCGCAGUCAACACUAGUGCAGCUCGCGCUGAGGACCGGCCAUGGAAGCCUCGCCGGCACCAUCGGCGCUUGGGCGAGCGCUACACGGACGCGUGGGCCGAAGAGCUUGUCGAGGUGUGGAACUUUGCGUGGCAGUGGUAGAAGUGAUGAACGCAACCGAGCAGUGCAGGCGAUCAAAAUUGUGCUGGGAAGGCUUUGCCCUGGCGGGUAUUAACGGGUACUUGAACUGGUAGAUGUGGACCUUAAUACGUAGACGCCGUAACGAGGUGCUGCGGGGACACAAUCGGCGGGGGCCAGGGCACACUCACCGCAGACACUGCGUCUGGCACCUUGUGUUCACGGCUUCCCACCAACGAACCCACGUGCGCAGGAGCAAGAGACAGCCCGUGAGAAGCGGCAAGAGGAGGCGAGGCUGGCUCGGCUACAAAUGACGCAGCAAAAAGAGGUACGCUCUGCCAGCGUGCGUAAGGGUGCUGCAGGCCCGUGGCAUCCUCGCGCUGCCGCAUACCUUGUGAAGCAUCGCACAUUCAUUGCGCAGGCGGACCUGAAGCGAAUCAGGGCGGAGGAGGAGGCCAUGAAGCGCAAGGCACAGGAGGUACGUGUUGGGCACACGCACAUUUCGCUUGUGCCCUGCACUGGGGAACGGGGGAGUGCCCAAGGGAGAGCGAGAGAUGCUCGGGCGAUAAGACCGGCGCCGUCCUCACAGCUGAACGUAUGUAUUCGCAGAUCAUUGUGAAGCAGCAGGAGGCGGCACGUGCCAACGGCCUGCCCUUCAAGCUGGUCAUCCGGGGUACCGACUUUGCGCCCGUGGUGGUGAGUGGAAGGCGGCCUGUGGGCGGCUGGAUGGCGUGGAAAACGGCAGCGGCCAGAUAUAAGCGCUUGGCAGCUUGGACUGCAGGAUUGCUCAAGCCCCGCCUUAGCAGGAUACUGCAGGCCUGGCGGUCAUGCACCUCCCCUCGCUGCAUUGACCUCGCUGCAGGUGUGGUCCGUCAUCCUGGCGGCGCUAGCUGCAGCCUACCGCAGCCGCUUCGUGCAGUGGCUGCUGUCCGGCGGCAGCAAGCAGCCCACCGGCGGCAAGUGGGUGUACGACCGGUCCCUGGGAGGCCGCAAGGUAGGGCGCCCGGCGGCGCUGAAAGGCUUAUUCCCACCAUUCCCAGUCAGGAACUAGAGACCGGAGGAUGCAGGGCAAGGAGUGGGGGUUUCUGGACCAAGUGUCACGCGAAACGCUCUGCCUGGUGCCACCUGCAGGUUUGGGUGCCGGACAGCAACUCGUUCGACGGACCCACCACCGCCACUAGCAUGUCAGAGAAGGCCGGCCGCUCGCGCAUGGUGAGCGUGUAUGGGCGUGGGUGUGCCCUGACCGCGGCUGUUCAAACCUGCUACAUGCGACGAGAUGGCACCCCGUGGUAUGGGAAAGCACUAAAGCAGGCGCGUUGAUGAGAUGUAAUCACGCAGCGCUCGUCUCAGCUGACAUCCCGCCUUCGGACCCACCUGGUUGGCACGCUCCUUGUAACCUCAGGAUGAGGAUUUCGAGCGGCUGUCUUCGUUCGCGGCCGCGGCGCGCACCGGCGGGGACGCCUCCACCUCGGGCUCGGGGGUGGCGACAGGCACGCUGCCGACCUGGUGGGACGCGCCGCCGGUGCUGUACGCCUCAGCCUCGCGCAAGGUGCGAGGAGUGGCAGCGUCCCCGCGCGUGUGCUAGUGUACUAGGGAAGGGCAGUAGCAGCGUUGACGGGGUUGCACAAAUCCUUGGGCUUAUCGUUGCAGCCCCAGCAGCCGGCGCAUAUCCUCUCCAUCGCCUUGAGCUUGUCAUGCCUGGAACCUACCGUCCGUGUCGCCAGGCGGCCUGCGAGGCGGAGGCUGGCCGCAUUAUGUCGCGGCUGGAGAGCGCCAAGAACCGCGGCGAGGACUACUCGCUGGCAGAUAUACGCGCGCUGAGGAAGACGUGUCAGGUGGACCGGGUAUUGGUUGGGGGAGGGGCGGUGAAACGUAGUGUGUGAGGAGGAGCCAAGUUGCGGCGGCGGCUGGCAGGGCGGCUGGCAGGCGGCUGGCAGUCAGGAUUGGAGACUCCUGGCGGAGUGCUCAUAGCACUGUACACGCUGUAAAUGUCAGCCAACCCAACGUCAAUCACAACAUGCACAGGAGGGCCACGUAAGCGUGAAGCCCAAGACGGUGGGCGGCCGCGACGCCAUCUUCCGGGCCGCUGUGGAGGCGGCGGUGGCGGCGGCGCAGGCUCGCAACUUCGAGUCGCUGGAUGAGGCUUCGCCGCCGCGCUUCGUCGCGGGCGUGGCGGCGGACCUGGGCAUGGAGGACGGCCGGGCGGUGGGCAUAGCGGUGGCGGUGGUGGCCAGUGCGGUGCGGGCGCGGCUGCUGGACGUGAGUGCGGCAGGGCCGGGGCGCGGAGGCGGGAAAAGGCUUAGUGGCUUAGUGGAGGGACGCGGGCGGGUAUUUGCGGGCUUGGAAUGACAGUGCGUACCUCCAAAGGACUGACUAAAAGGGACGGGUUUGUAGCCCGGCGUCCUUGGCACGUGGAAACUAGAACAGCCCAAGCCCGGCCAAACCGCCAUGCCGAGCUGCGUCCAACCGAAUACUGAUCCCCCUUCCAAGCCCUGCUGUGUCUAAACCCCAGUUGCCUGUCGUUUGCGAUUGCGCAGGCCGUGACCAACAUGAAGCUCAGCCGCACUGACCCGGAGGCCAUGACGGAAGCGGUGUACGCCCUGGCGCGCAUCGCCAGCCUACUGGAGUACCUGCCCGCGCUGGACACGGAAACGCCGCAGGUGGGGGCAGCGGCUGUCGGGGUAGAGGCAGUCGGGGCAAGGCAGGUUGAGGCGGAAGCCAUGGCGGUAAAUGGGUUUGGACAGGAUAUACACGCCGGUGCGGAAGUCAAACCAAUCGUGCUGUUAUUAUGGAAAGCGAAACCUCCCUGCCCAAUUCUAGCGGUGCCUCCUUAACAUCAUCCGCGCCCUCAUGGGGCCCACUCCGCCUCCCGCUCUGGUCUACGUACGCAUUAGUUCCGCAACACUACUCAAUAAUGGGGCCUCUUCGUCUUUGCACGUGCACCCCUCCAGGUGGACAUGGUAGCGUCCUCCCUGCGCGCCGCCAGCAGCCUGGAGGAGCGCCGCUACCUGUUCCACCUGCUGGCGCAGCUCACCGAGGACAAGGCGGCGCUGGCGGCGCGGCUGCUGGACUUUGAUCCCAAGCUGGUCAUCCCUGAGCAGCAGGCCGCGCUGCAGGCCGCGCGAGUCGAGCAGGCGGAGUUUGAGCGGCUGGAGGCGGCGGCGCAGGGCAAGGAGGGGCAGGCCAAGAACGGGGCGGCGCAGGGGCAGCAGAAGCCGGGAGCAGCGGCGGAGCCGGCGAAGGACGGGCAGGCCGGGACAAGCAGCGGCGAAGCCGGGAAGGACGCGGGCGCGGCGUAAGCUAGGAGCAGUCGGAGAAGCGGCUGACGCAUGGUUCGUGAGGACGGACGAGCCAAGUUAGCGCAGACAGGGCCAGUCCCGGGACGUGAACGAAGGUACCAUAUACAACUAACAACUAUCUCGGAUUACAGACAAUGAGUUUCAGGCAGACGUGGACCAAAGUGACUCGCAAGUGGGACAGUUGGGCGAUGUCGGCCCUGUUCUGUUUUGGCCAGUGCUAGCGACUUGUAACCCCUGCAGUCGCGAGCUGACCCCCGUCGACUUUCAAUAUGCUGGAGACUAUUAUGCGGACCGAGCCCGACCGAUGAAGCGACCUUGCAUCUCGGGCGGACGUCGGUCUGUCGGCGGGGCGCGGGGCUGACGCUGCUACCAGCCCCUUCUCUCACAAAUACAGUACUUAUACCCAAUUCGCGCAGCACACACUACUAAUACUUGACCUGACACAACUUAAACACCAGUGCGCGACUGUCAAAAACACAAACGAGACCCUUGCAACAUUCGCUGCAGCUUACACAUACGAACGCCGCCUCUACCUAUUAAGUCCACUGCUGUAUUGCUAUCCUAAAGAUACAUCGCCGUCACUGAUUUUGGAGUGAUGGGGCCCUGGAAAGGAGCGACGCAGGUUGCUCCGGGCGGUGGCGACGAUGUCGAGUCCUUCGGCGACGACAAGCGAGGCUGCUCCGGCUGGGUAGGCUUGCUAUCGAUUCGCAUCGUAUGCAGCGUUGUUUGACGCGUCCCCGCGAUUACUCGUCUUGGCUCACGUCGUUGACGCGCACCAAGUCAUGCGCUUGCUCAAGUCAACGCUGUGACCCAUCGGAUUUCUCACAGGUCAAGCGCAACCCAGUGGUGGCAGCCGUAUUGAUUACGCUCACAAUACUUGGCGUGAUAGCAGCUAUCGUGGUGCCGGUGACCUGCUCGGUCCACGGCUGUCCUCCAAAACAAGCAGAGGUGCGACGCGCGGAAUCUGGUACUCCUUAGCUUUAUUGAGUAUAGGUUUUAAAAUAAUGUAGGCUAGGGCCCGCGGCCCAGCUCCAAGCCCUCUGCGUGCGCCACUUGUCGAGUUUUGGUCGCAGGUAUUGAGUAAGCACCCCGCCGCCCCAUUGCUGCCCCUGCCUGCACACACCAACAGGAUCCUACUCUGUCUUUGUACAAGAAUGCACCGGUUCGCCUGGUGGCGGCGUUCCUCUCUGACGUCGACGUCGCGGACCUGGUUCCGCCCAUCCUCAAACAAUACACAUCACGGGUGCAGAUGGCGCUUUCAAAUUUACAAAUUCUUGAGGCCGUAGACGAGUCCGUGCUUCAAAUCGUGCUCGACGAGGUUCGGAAGCGGACAGGUGCGGGAAACGCCGGGACUGUGUGAUUCUUUGCUAGUAUUUGUUUUCCUUCAACGAAACUUAGCAGUGGUCGUGCGGGGGGCGGGCGGCGAGAUAUAGCGUUCGCGUGCCGUGCAUGGUGUGGGCCGCUUUCCUUCCCCGUCACGACAUCGUAAAGCGGCCGUGCCCUGUUGUCGCUGCCCCAUAUUCAGAUGUGGAGUUCGUGGUGCGCGACUUCGUGCUGAAGGCGCCCACAGACAUUACUGACCCCACAGCCGCGUCCUCCAGCAGCGGCCGCCGGUAAGUUUGGCAGUUGGCACUCGGUGUUCAACUCACGGCUGUCAAUUUUCGCCGUGAGCCUCCAUGAACCGACUGCCCCGAACCCUUGGCGUAUUCCCGCUGCAGGUUGCAACAGGCAUACACUCUGAAUGACCCGCAACUGAGCACCACUUGGUGGUUUGACCGGAUCAACGUGACCGGCGCCUGGAGGCUGCUGAACGUCAAUGCCACGGACCCGCAACAGAGAAGUGAGCAGCACUGGGGACGUGCUGGUGGGGAGGGGGAGGGGGAAUGCUGGGCGCCCGUGUCUUGGGAAGGGCCGGCAUAUGCAGUGCUGAAGGGAGCCAUUGAACACGCCAAGUGGAAGCAACAUGCACGUCAAUAACACGAUGUAUGUCCUCUGUGCCUUAUGCAGCAAGCGACGUGGUAAUUGGCGUCACGGACAGUGGUGCCUUCGUGAAUCACCCUGACCUCAUUGGGUCGUUCUGGGAGAACCCGGCUGAAAUUGACAAUGAUCUGCGGGACAACGACAACAACAGUGAGUGGCUGCGCGGCUAGUGGCUAGGUCAACACGAGCACGCCUGCAGCGCUUCAUGGCUGUGCCCGCACAACACCAAUAACAUGUGCCCGUCUGCUGCAGCCUACAUUGAUGACGUCUAUGGCGCCUGCUUCGCCAACUCGGUGUGCUCGCCCACUUCGCUUAACUCUAACCUGUCGCGGUGCGGCAUCGGCAAAAACACAUUCGCUUGGAACAACGUCAACGACAUGUAAGUCCUGGGGACGUUGGGGCAAAGAAUGGACCAGCGACCGGCAACAUAUGGUUGGCGUGCGCGCCAUGUACGUGCCAUGUGCCAUCGCCAACAGGGCUGACGCUGUGUGCCCUGUGUUCACUCACACCCACAGCAACAGCCACGGCACGAAAAUCGCUGGUGUCAUCGGUGCGCGGCCCAACAAUGGCAUCGGCCUGGCGGGUGUGGCGCCCAACUUGCGCCAGAUGGUUCUCAAGGUGCGGUGCGCGUGGAUGCAUGGAUGGGGCCUGUUGACGCCUGAUAGCGUGGCCAGGGAUGAGCAGGCUGAUUGGCCGCUCAAAGUUUGCCGGGGGUCAGCCAGCAAGAUUCACUGACACACCACACACUCCCGUGCUUUUGUCAUCAUACCGUGCCUGCCCUUAAUCCGACGCCUCGCUUCCGCCCCCGCGCACGAACCCUAGGUGGUGGAUGACACCUACUUUCAGUACGCAUAUAGCGACGUGGUGAGGGCCAUCGACUACGGGUACGCCAAGGGUGCGCGCAUCUUCUCCAUGUCGUUUGGCCAGGACGCCCGCACCAGUGCCACGGUAAGCCGGCACGGGUUUGAAGACAUGGGUGUGCUGUUACUCAAGACGCUGGGAAAGGUCGGGCCAUAAUGGCCUAGAAUGCGGCCACCGUGUCCUCAACAACGCUCAUCAACCAACCGUUUGCCGCCUUGCAGCCCACCAACAAGCCUAGUCUGGACGCGGCUGCCACUGCCUACCGCAACCUGUUUAACAAGUACUCCAACGCCCUGUUCGUGGCAGCAGCAGGUGGGUGGGCUGGCGGCUGGCUAGAUGGGUGCUGCGCGCGGAGGCUGAAAUGGUCUUGACCACAGUAUCUACCUGUGGCACGCUGUGUACUCAGCGCAGAUCAAUAACCGUGUCCGCUGUGGAUGCCUUGCAGGCAACGAGUGGACGAGCCUGGAGGGCUGGCGCUCAGGCAACUACACCUACUCGCCCUGCAUGAUCGCCACCGACAACACGCUCUGCGUGGGCGGCACCAACGUGAACGACACAAUCUUUUACGUCUUUGCCUUCAACCAGCAGGCCGGCACGAACUUCGGCCCCACCACAGUGGACAUGGGCGCGCCCGCACACAGCAUUUACACAACCGACAUUGCCGUCAGUGAGUGGAGUGUGCACAGGGCAUCCUGCAGGCGGGGCUAAAAAAUGAAACGGGCGGAUGGGCGGCACGUGGUGGAAAUGGAUUGAGCGUGUACUGGUUGGGAGCGUGUACUUGGCCCUCAAUACAAUGACGGUAGCCGACCUGACCGAUGCCAUGGCUGCAAUUUAUCACCCACAGAUAGAAACUACAGCGCCCCUUCGGGUACCUCUUUCGCUACCCCCAUGGUGGCGGCAGUGGCGGGUCUGGUGCUGUCGGCGCUGGGCGGCACCGGGUGAGACUUUGCAGCGUGCGGCGCAGGCCACAUGGUCACAGGUGGCUGACAAGUACAUUAUUGUCUUGCGACUGUGCGGCCUAACGCAAGUGACAGUCUUGGGGCAAGGAUCAUUGGCGGUCUGCGGCUACUUGGUCGCCUUCUGCUUUCGUGCCAUGGAUGGUAACGCAAGCCUUCCUGCUUGCGCUGCCGUUGUUCGCAGGCGGGCCACUCCGCAGACACCCCUGCAGAUUAAGAACAUCCUAAUGAGCUCUGGCGAUCUGCUGCCCAGUCUGAACGUGAGUUUCGUGUGGCGCCAUAAAGUGGUUCUUAAGCUGCUUUCAUACCUCACUGUGGUGCAUGUGCGGUGCUGACUUUAUGUGUGCUCAUGCCUUUGUUGCAAUACAGAACCAGUUCAAGAGUGCGCGCCGCCUGAACGCCGCCAACGCUGUGGCGGCCGCCCUGACCCUGGCCCGGACCAACCGCACUAGUAAGUGACUACGGGAGAGAAACACGGCACGCAUGAGUUGGUUGCACAGCCACAAGGCACGCUAUGGUAAACUGGUCGUGCAAAUCUAUGGCUAUGGAAUGGGCGUGGGCUGAAGCCUGACAAGCCCAUUUCAGGGCGUCUGGCAUACGCUUUCCAAGUGCACUCCUCGACAACUGGCAUUUCCUAUUGUGAUUCACUUGCAGCCGUUGUCCGGGAGCUGGAUGGCAGCACGGCCGCCGCCGUCGGUGCUGUCACCGCCAUGCAGGCGUGGGAGUACAUAUGGUGCGUCACACGGCUGGGCUGGGGGAAGGAUGGCUAGUCCAGGGCGGGCCGAAAUGGGGCCUACCCUUCACGUGUCGCGCCAUGCAAGCACCUGGGCUCAGAACCUUAGGGCACCGCUGUCCUAUUCCGUCUGCUGUAAUCCCCCAUCUGAUGGCAUUGGUCUUAUGCAAUGGUCCGUGCACAGGUACACGGGUGUUUACACGGAUGGUGCCUUCGACAACUUUGAUCCCAGCUUCCGCUUCCUGGACUACUAUGUGCGGGUGAGGAAGUUUCCUCGUGUUCGCGUGCAAAUUAAAGUCAGAGCUUCAAGCUGUGGUGUGGCAACUCUUUAAUGUACCAGAGGCUCGGGCGCCUGUACUGAUUGUCGGCUACACCAUGUCCCAACCGUUGGGCUGUCCUUCUGCCCGCCCGCCUUUCCCUACAGCUGUCCUCCAACAUGCAAAUCGGCGGCAUGCGCUACGGCGGCAACACCAAGCUGCUGGUCACGUCGCACAUGCGUGUGGAGACCACCGGCAUGUACGGGCUGCAGGUGAUCCAGAGUGGCAUCACUCGCGAUAAGUGGCAGAUGAGCAUCGGCGAGAACAUCAUGUACUUCCGCUGGGUCAACAGCACCACCGGUUACAUCGACCUCUUUUUCCCCGACCCCGGUAAGGAGCAGGGCGCCUCAGGCCGUGGUGGGGUGUCCCCGCUGCCGGCGCACAAAAAUACAACAUUUGCGUCGCAUCGCCGUACCUCCUUUGAUUGUGGCAUUCACUUAUCUGCAACAGGCUUCUACAACAUCACCAUCUGGAUGUAUCCCGACUACGCAACUAACCUGGACUUCAAGUGGCAGUCGCCCACGGAUCCCAGCUACCUCAACCGCAACUGGUUCUGGAUCCUCAACUUUGACAGCCCCCCCGCGCCAGUCAAUGACCCUAAUGUCGCCGACAAGUGAGUACCGUAAGGGCGGGAGCGCUGCGUGUAGCGGCCACCGCCGUAGGUAGUGUUUUGCACAUGGAAGGUGACCAACGACCAAGCGCCUUGUUGUCUAGUCACAAACACAAGCACCGUCUGAUCUCGCGCCUGCUCUCAUCUUCCAACACGAACACAGGCCGGCUCUGUGGCACGUGGCCUGGAAUGAGGACCGGCAGUUCGACACGUGGAUAUACCAGUACGGCUAUUUCCAGGCCAACAAGGACAUACGGCGCUAUCGUGACUGGCAGACCACUGUGCCUGACUUCAACUUCGCCACCGGUGCCGAUGUGAGUGGCAGACAAGUUGAGGCGCAGAGGCCGGGAGCGAAAGCGGCCUGGCGCGCGGGGGCGGGCUGGACGCGGCCACAAGCUGCAGCUCAAGGGUGUGUUACCGUAGUCCCGUGCAUUAAGGCCAUGCUCCAUUCGCUUUUUGCUUUUCCCACCUUGCAGCUUCGAAGCGGUCUCUAUGGCACCGGCACCGCCAUGCUCAACCCCGCCAACUAUGUGGUGUAUGGCUAUGCCCGCACCAACCUUGCGCCGAGGGCCUUCAGCCAGGGCGUGGCCUUCCGCCUGCGCGUGAGUGCAAAAUGUCCGCGCCGCACACAUCUUGGCCUUUUUAAAAGAGAAACCGAUGUAAAGGCGCUUGCUUGUGGCCACUGUUAUGCAAAGCCUCUUUCUGAAUACCUGUCAAUAUGUCCCACUUGUAGCUGCGCUUAGCGUUCCUCGUGCGCGUGUGCUGCUUCUCAACCGACCACAGGGCCCGCACACGCGCCUGUUCAUCAACGGGCAGUUGGUCUAUGACUUCCAGUCCACGUCCGUGUUCCAGACCGUCACGCCCUGUGUCACGCUGGCAAGCAACCAGUCGCACGAGAUCUACCUCUACUUCGCUGCAAUGGUGCGUGAUGCGACGCAACGCAGCAAGGCAGACUGCCACGGCCGUGGGCUUCUUGGGGUCGUGCAGGGCAUUGUUGCUACGUGCUCAGUGGGCCUCAUCAUGCUGCCAGGUCGUAGCCCAUGCGCAUGUAACCCUGCGUUUGAGCCCGGUUGCCCUGUCCCCGCGCCCUUCCUGCAGCUCAACAACACCGCGCCUGUGGGCAUUCAGUGGGCCAACUGCAGCUCGCCCAACCAGCCCGCGGUGCUGUCCACCAACUACGUGUCCUUCUCUUCCGCGUGAGUACCCGCAAGUUCUGGUGACUCAUCUAAGCGAGUGCAGGCACACAGCCACCGCAUCUUCUGUGUAACGCCGUAUUCAAUGCGUCGCCAACACGCACGUUCCUCACUUUCCCUUGCGCCCAAUGGCCUACCAUCGCUGACCCCAUCCCCACCCAAUCCCGCCGCACCCCUUCCGGCUCGCAGUCUGGCCACCAAGUUCUUCUACAGCCCCAACCCUAACACCGUGGCCUCCCUGCCUCGCGGCUUCCGCUGCGACGCCUGGGCCGCCAACGGCUCCAUCACCCGGCCGGCGCCCAACAACCCGCCCUUCGGCACGCCGCCCAACCUCACCUGGAUGUACCCGCGCGACUGCCCCGCCGGACUCAAAGUCGGCAGCGAGUGCCGCAUGGGCACGAUCAUGCGGGUGCGUCAUUUGUGGACUUUGGGGGCUCGUUCUAGUAGAAGCACCUGCAUCCCUUGGCCGUUGUUGCUGGUCCCCAUCUUCCAUCCCAACCUAACGUCUACCCUUGUAACCCAUAUCCCCCACUUCCGUCGCCCUUGCUCUCACGCGCACAGGAUUUGUUCCCUAGCAUUACCUGGAACUUCUGGAAUGUCCGCUGCUGGACCUACUGGUCGGGCAGCAUUAAGAACGGCGUGUCGCGCGCCUUCAACCUGCCCGGCGUGCACUACCAGACCCUGGCGGGCGCGCGCACCUACGAGAUGUUCGGUGACGGCCUCAACUUCUACAACUACGCACCCAUCCGCACCCGCUUCGCGUCCAACGUCUAUCAGCUCUUUGUGCUGGACUGGGUGGCGCUUGGGCCGCUGUGGAACCGCGUUGCGGCGCAGAUUGUGUGGGACGGUACCGAUAACGGAAAUUCUACAGACGUUGAUAAUUUCCUCAAGACCGACAGCAGCCGCAUGAUCCUGCCGGCGAAUGCUGCAGCACCAUACAUGUGGCAGAAUGUAACGUUCGUGCCGUGAUGAGUGAAGGAAGGCAGGGCAGGAAGAGGUUCGAGAGGGCCCAGUGGAAGAAACGAGAUGGGCGGGUGGGGGGCUAGUGUCGCGAGGUCAGGGUUCGUGUAGUUUGGGACAGCAUGCUUGGCCUUGUGUGCAUGUGUUUGCAUGAUUUAUGCUCAAAAUGCAUACCCGACUGACUCGCUCUUUCAUAACCUUGCCGCACGGCAUCGUGCGCCAUCCUCUUCCCGUCGUGCUGUGCGAACAGCACCUUUUUUGCAAUGGGGGAGUCCUGAGGUUGGUGGAGUAGCACUGGCGAAGGCGUACAUAAAUGUAUAGUGGGCCGCUGUGGCUUGCAAGUGACCUCGGCUCGCUUCAACCACAGCGUGAACUAGCGUUGCUCUUAACGAUUAUGAUGGCCGGUUGGGGUCUAUGCGCAUAUUGUCCUAUUGAUGGGUUUGCGGGGAUGCUGCAGUGGAUGCAUCCCAGCCCCGUGUUUCGCGUGGCAAACUCGCGAACGCGUGCGGCCUACCUUCGCAUUACCGGGCUGCCAUAAUUGACAUUGUUGAAUACAGUUCAUUAGCUCUUGUUGCGCCUGCGAUGUCAUGCACGUUAGGUGCUUGGGGCAGGGAGGAGAGGGGAGACUGUGUGUGUGUGGGCUGUGUGUGUGUGUGUGUGUGUGUGUGUGUGCCGCUACGGGUUGGACGGCGCGUAGCUUCACGUAGACUUCACUUGCAGAUCGAUAGGUAGAUUCCUAAAGCUGGCCUUUUGCCGCCGUGGUGCAUUGUAGCUGGCGCGUGAAAAGGACUGAGUUGGUUUCCCACGGGCCACGGCAUGCGUGAGGAUACCGUAUAUGUGGCUCUGUACGACAUCUCGCCCAUAAACAUGUCACCGGGUCCCUGGACAAGCGUUGGCCUCACGCUCGUUCUCAAUCCGCUCCCGUCCACGUCUGCCCCUCGUUCGCGUACCGUGAUGUGUGUGUGUUAUAGGAUUGGAAGUGUGCAUUCCUAAUACCUGCAACGAGACUAACCGAGGAUUGUUAGUUGCGUCUUGCACACCGUGUGCACCGUCGUGGUGCUGCCUAAUCAAAAGACAGCGCUUAGACCAAAUAUCACGUACGCAGCAAGCCAACUUAAAUUGGUCAGCACCUUGCAUAACCUGCUUCAUUGAAUCAGAACUGAUACCGUACGUUGAUCUGACACACGUGUACGCUUCACACUCAAGUAAAACAUGCCGUUCAUCCUCUACUCCUUUGUUGCAGAGGGGGCAAAGCCUGGCAUUUCUAGGUAAAUGGUGGUCUCUAUAAGCUGCAAUCGGCCAACAGCAAAGCCGAAACCUCAUAAGGCAUCUGCAUUGAAUGGGUUUACACGGGGCGCGCCGCAUGACGCCGUCAAGCCGCGCACUGUAAUGUCGAUGCUGUGGCGCCGUAUGCAACGGUUGGCGCCAUUCUUGAUGCUGCAAGCAAAACCACGCAAGCGCAGAGCGUAAUAAUCGUUUCAUCAUACAUCAGGUGCGUGCAUGCAAGGCCCCGCACCCAUCCAUGCCCGCGCCCUACACGCACCUGGAUGCGAUUGUCUGUGGGGCCAUGUCGUCGCUGGACCAACGCGCCCAUUGGCAGUAGCGCGUGCCCUCCUCCCAGCCGGGCUUGAUGUUCCCGCCACGACCGGCUGCCCCGUCGCGCCGUCAAUCACGAGGGAGUUCUCAUCGCCGGCGCACACGUAGUCAACAGGAGUGAGCGCAUUCAGCGCGCAAGGCGAUCCCGGUCGAGGAAAGGUUAGGCAGAUUGCAGGGGGGGGGUAAGGAUGCCGCAGACAUACCCCACCCUUCAAAUCGAAAGAGCUUGACGAGAGCGUUCAGAAUCCGCUUUCAGAAUUUUGAUCAGGGUAGUAAUUGCGGAGGUAUGGGCCCCCAAAGUUCAGGGUCGGUCGUCGGUCCCCAGGGUCCCCAAGGUUUCGUCACGGUGUGCCGGAAACUUUCGUCUGGGCCUCAUAAGACAGCAGGGCAAGCCCAGACCGUUGCCCAAAGCAUGUAAUGGAUGCUUGAACAGCUGGGAAACAUCAGGAGCCUAUCAGAAGACGAAGGGCUACCGCCCGUCAACACAUGUCGGGUUGGGAUGUUGGGGUGCGACAUGUCUCGCCUGACCAGAACGUGCCACAAGUCGCGGACCGGUGCUUGCACGCCGGAGGAAAACGCAUGUAUAUGUCCCAUGCGUAGGUAAGUCUCGUGGGCGUGCUUUACACGGGUGCAACUGAACGGCCGCAAGAUGUUCUCAACAUGUUGACAACAUGGCUGUGGUCAAGACGCGCCCGACGAACUUUCCGUGUUUACAUGUUAAUAGAGCUCGCUGAAAGCAGUCGUUUGGCACCAUCCUGGAAGAAAACAGAGGGGAUUUAGGGGGUGUACGGCACGGUACGGCACGGUCGGUCGUCGGUCAGGGGGGGUCGGGAGGUUUUGCGGGGUGGGGUCUGGAACUAUUGUUCGUACCCCCCCCUGCAGAUUGGGCACAUUAAGUACUGCUGGGAAGCGAACGGAUCACCGCUCAGGGUUUGGUAUUUGCAGUCGGCGGCUCGGCGCUGUUGUAGUAGAUGUCCAGGCACGAACCCUGGGUGCCGCAUGCGAUUGCGUUGGAAAGGCCGCCCCCAUCGCUGGAAGGACCCUGAAGCACGCAGGGGUCGGGCGGCGCAGCAGGCGCCCGGACGUUUGGGCUGGCGCCGGGGCGCGGCGGUGGCCUGGGUGCGGGGGAGGGCAACUCGUACAGGAUGACACAGUCAACAUGGCUGUACAAGUGAAAUGGGCGGCAUUGCUGUGAAGCCUAGAAAUGAAGGAGCGGCUUCAAGUCCAAGCCCCACGUCCUUGCGUACUGAGUGAUCCACAUCAAUGUGUGAUUUCAUUGACCUGAUGGCGGUUCGCGUCGGACCUCCUACCGUAUACAGCCACCGUCUCCUGAACUCACUUCAAGCCUCAGAACCUGCCAUCCUAAAAGGCACUCAUGAGUCAUGACUGCCACCAUCUUAAAACGUCUGUAGUGUCUAGACUACUUGCCAGCCGGCCCAGCCCUCUGAAAACGUGCACACACCAGGCUCACAUGUGAAUCACGACAUACUAGCCGUCUACUGCACCGGUGCUAGCGGACUGUCACUAUCCAGCCGACUGGGGGCAUCCGAGGCGAGGGGCAUCCGAGGCUCUCUCGCACUCGCAGUGUUCCCACAUGAAGAAACUGUGUGUUUGGUCCACGCCUAGCGCUGAGACAAGUGUUCCCCGGUCACGGGAAAAGGGGCUGAGCCCCUCCACAGUCUGAGGCCGAACAACCUCAUCGCCCGGACAUAGCCGGGGUCGGUUUCCACAGGCACAUAGCCAAACCAGGUGCCUAUCUAGCAGUCGCGAUGCCACAGUGCUCAGCCCAAAAACCGCAGGUUUGACAGAUCCUCACAACAUGGACCUAGGCCGGACGGCAUGAUUGGGAGCCGCACCCUCUCCUCCUACACCAUCCGUCAGCUUAGCCCCCAUCAUCCAACACCGCCAUUUGCCGCGGAGGCCUAUGCAAUGUGGCUGGCCAUGGCGAGCCAUCCUCAAUGCAUGCUCCGAACCGCUUCUCCCAAGCUCACCCAGCCUCCCGUCUCUCUCCGUCGCUGGAGCGUUCACGCCGUCUUGGCUCCGCUCUUGGCACGCUUCUGACUGCGCUUGCUGCCGAAGGGCUGCGCGGACACGGCCAUGCGGAUCACCAGCGCCAGAGGCAGCGCCAGGUAGGGCGCGUAGAUCGCGGCCAGGGCGGGGCUGUGCGAGCCAGCCGCCGGGCUGAACAGAAUGUCAGUCAGGAUGGGCACCUGAGGAGGGCAGAGGUGAGGUGGAUGAGUUUGGAUGGGUUGGUGGAUGGAGCAGGUACAGGUGAUGGCAGAUGGCCGCCCUAAACGAAAUGUCCUUACUGGACGUCGGAGAGAAGGAGUCUGGUGGGCAAACAAACGGAUGGGUUUGCCCAGCACUAUCAAUCUAGCAGCAUCCUGGCUCCUGCGCUUGGCCCAUCCGCCCACUGGCUCGCCCACCCCUUACGCCAGUCGGGACGAACCAUGGUGGUGGCAACGUGCGCGCCGUAGAUUAUACAGGGCACACGGAUCCAGUUGGCCCGCUUGAUGAAGGCGUACGCGGCCACAAAGAAGAAGGGCAGCUGCAGCGCCGUCUCGCACCAAACCAGCGACACGAACCACAACGGGUUGGUGGACACCUGUCCAUGGGCGGGGGCAGGAGGGGUGGGUGGGUGGGUGGGUGGGUGAACUACGAGGAAGCCAGGGCACGUCCGGUCUCAGCCUCCUGCCCCCGCCCCCGCCCAUCGCGCACGGCGGUGGCCGCGGGCGUUGUCUACACCAUGCCGUGUUGUUUAGCGUGUAAGUCAGAUUCUAAGUCUAGCUCAUUACCGUUACAUAGACAAUGCCCGGCCAGAACGUCAGCUGGCUCUGGAACUGGAAGCUCGAGCGGUCCGAGCACCGCUCGACUGACAGCCUACCAGCGUCGCUCCGAUCUAACGUGUUCCUUACGACCACACCCAAUCCAUAUGCCAACCAUGCGCUGGCCUUGCUGGCGCCGCACCUGGGCAAGGGCAAGGACGGCCCCGCGCCCUGGAAGUGAGUGGCUGCAGCAGUCUGCCGCGACAGUCUGGCUGCUGUCCCAGGCCCUGUCCGUUGCCUUACACGCUCUUGUCGACACCUUUCAGGUACAGGUCGCUGGAGCAGGCGGACCUGGAGAAGCUGGAGAAUGCGGCGUCGGGGUUUGUGGCUUUUAACGACCUGCUGCUGGAGGCAGUGGAGGCUCCAGCGGUGGGCGGCCAGGUCCAGUAUCUCUUCUUCCUAGGCCGCCCUGACGGUGAGUUGCACCCUCUCCCCCCCUCUCCCCCCCUCUGUCCCCGCCCCCCCCUCCCAGCAGGGUUCUGUCAAGGACAGAGGCCGCUGCGGCGGUAUGUUAGCAGGGAGGUUAGUUAAGAAUGGGACCGUGCUGGGUUCUGCCACGUGCAGUAAGGCUGAGGCCUAGUGCAGUGACUUGCGGGCGGGGGGCGGGGGCGGGGGGCGGGGGCGGGGGUUUCGGCGCAUAUAAUGCGCAUGUGUAGUUAACAGCAACACGCUUGGUCGAGGGGCGGGUGGGUGGGUGGGUGGUAGUGGGUGGGUGGGUGGGUGGGUGGGUGGUAGUGGGUGGGUGGUAGUGGGUGGGUGGUUCGGCAAGCCUGAUUUACUAGCGGGUGCGUUACACACGGUGCAGCUACGCUGCCUGGCACCUUCGGUAGUCUGGCAGUGCUGCCCAAUAACCCAAAUAACCAACACUCCCCCUCGGACCGAACUGGGUCCAAUAGCAAACCGCCAACUGACAGCCAACUGACAGGGGAAACAAACAAGGCCAAUCACCGGCCAUAAAGGAGGAGAUAACUCCCCCUCAAUCUGAGCACCGGUGGAUAUAGGAUAGGGCGGUGUCCGACCCUGAGCGGUCAACAGGUGGGCGCGAUAGGUGGGGUUGGGGGCAGGAGGCUGAGACCGGACGUGCCCUGGCUUCCUUGUAGUUUCCUUGCCCUAUCCUGUUCCAUUUCCACGUGCACCGUUCCAACUUGCGCAUGCUGCCACUCCCCCACGUAUUCUCGCCUCUCGACGCCUCCCGCAAAACGAAAGGGGGGGAGGGGGGAGCAAGCGGCGCAGUCGCCCAGUCCAUACCGCGCUCCUCCGCCCAUACACACCAGGUGGUCACCGUUGGUCUUGAUGUGCCAUUGCAGAGCCUCCUUUGCCCAGGAAGGGAAGUACUCAGCCGGGAACACUGCGCGCAAGCGAUGGUCCCGACCUUUUGUUAGGACAACGCAGCUCCGCCUGAUUAGAUCUGAAUGUUUCGAUCAUUGCUCGCAUCUACGUAUGGGUAGAUGCGGGCCAGUUGGCGGGCCAGCGUUCAGUAGCUCAACACUUCACCCGCAGCAAGCCUGCCGCGCUGCUUACCACUCUGGCUGUCCACUAAGAGUGUUGUAGGGAUGUGAAUAAUAAAAUAAGCGAGGAAAAUAGCGUCCAGGACGCCAAGCGCACUCAUCUUCGCCUCCUUUGCAGGGCUGAACAAGGUAUAAUCACACGUGUUGUCCUAGUAUACAGGAUAGCGUGCCCUGAAGGCGGAAUUGCCGGCCCAGUGGCAGUCAACCGUCACAUGGCGGGACAAUUCCCAGUCCCAAUCGCCCCCUUGCCCAACUGUUCCCCACGGCCUGAGCUGCCUGGGACUUGGGACUUGACGCAGCACCGCACCGCACCUCUUCCUCCUGUUCAAGCAGGCCACACCCGCCGUCAUCGAGCGCACGCAUGCGUGGCCCCACAAGUGCCCUAAAACACCUCCAACACCUUGCACCUACAGCCCUUGCCAAGUUGCCAUGCGUUCGGUCACGCGUGUCAUGCUAUCAUUCUCAUUCCUCCUCGCCCUCGCCCUCGCCUUCCGCCACCGACUCCAGCUGCGCCUCGUGCCGAACCUCCGGCAGGAAGUAGGUUUCAAAGGUCCAGUAUUUGUUGCGCACGCCCUGCCACACCUCGUCUCCCAGCUCGCCAACCGCCAGCGGCGUGUAUUCGGUAUGCAGGCCCUUGGACGCCAGCUCCAGCGAGAUGAGCCUGUGUCGCGGGGCCGUAUCCGCGUGUUGGAAAAGCGCAAGAAAGGAAACACACAGAAAAAGGUACCACAUGCCGUGUGUAUGUGUGUGUGUGUGGAGGGGGGGGGCGGGCGAGGGCUAAGUCCCUGAAAAAUCAAGACGACGCGAAUUUGCUUGUAGCCAGCGGGGGAAGCCUUGUCACCAAUUCAAAUAAAAGGGGGCGUUGAAAGCGUACAUGACCCCGGAUCUCGGGUUUGGAGUCUCCGGUAACAUAUGCUUGGUGCACGUAAAGGCGCGUCACGUCUUGCCCACACACCCACCGAUCCAAACACCCGCCACUAGUACCCACCUGCAGUAGACCAUGUGGAAGAAAAUGUUAUCUGAGGCCAGGCCGUUGAAGAACGAAUACACGCCGUCGCGGGCCAGCAGGCGGGGCAGGUGCAUGUGGAACUCGCGCAUCUCCUCAUAGUACUCGCCUGCGCGCAUGGCCAUGAUGUUAACGAUGAGGGGCAACAAUGAUGAAGUCGAAGGCAACUUGGCGGGCAUGGCGAUGAUAUUCUUACGAGGAUGCCAGAGCAUUGGUGUGAGCAUGGGCGGGAUGGGCAUGCGGGUGGGUGGCGGGGAAGGUGGUGCAAUAGGCACUGUCCAGUCCAUGCGACACUUACCGUACGUAUCGAAGAAUAUGCCGUCGUACGGCGCCUCCGCCAGCAGCUCCGGCAGCACGUCCUGCCAGCGGCCCCGCAGGAUGCGGACGCCGGGCUUGUCCGCCCAGCCGGUGCGGGUCAUGUGCUCCAACACGUCCGGGUGGGCCUCGAUGAUGGUGUGGCGGUCAGGCGAGUGCGUCUGUGCGGUUGGGGGUUGCGGGUUUGGGGCAGUGGGAACAAGGUAAGAGUGGCGGGAACAAGGUACCGCGGGCAGCACAACAGGUGGAGGCACGAGGUGGAGGCGCGGAGGGGGCAGGACGAGGUGCGGUGAGGUUUGGGGAAGGUGAUGCUGAAGGCGUUGUGUGCUUCUGCGUAUUGAGUCUAGCCGGUGACUUGAAUGUACAGAUCAAAGGUUGAAAGUCGAGAUCCUCGUCGUAGUGGUGGUGACGUCACGUGUGGUUUGCAACACAGCACCGGCCAGCCACGAUAAGGGGGAUUGGCGCCCAAAUCAAGGGGUGCGGGGCCGCGUGAGCCAAGGCGUGAGCGCGAGUUCUGGCUCUCACUUGGAUCGCGGUGUCCACAAUGCCCAGGCCGAAGCCCACAUUCACAACAUGACCGCCUUUCCGCCGCUUGCUGCCCGCCGCCGCCGAAGCAGCCGCUGCGGCUUGCGAUGACGGCCCUGCCUCUGCCUUUGCGGCCUCCGUCACCGCCAUGGCCUCAAUCGACUCCACCACCUGCGCCGCCACAGCCUCCUCCUCCUGGUGCUUGUGAUGGGCGUUGGGGCAGAUGACCUCUGCGUGUCGGAGCAUGAGCGGCCGCUCCCAGCCCAUCAUCACUGCCUCACCUGACACAGGUGAACAUCAGCGCAGGUGUACAGCAGGGGCAUUGUGAGGAUCUCAGAUGGCGGCGUGCGUAGCGACUCAACAGGUGGAGGCACGGCACUAGACAUCUACAAAAGGCCAUCAAUCGGAGAGCCCGUGCAACCUCAUGCUUUAUGCUUUGUCGGCCAUGCGCUUCGGGCCAUAGCGUUCCUUGCCCCAGCCUCUGCACGCCCAGCCCUGCAUCCGCCGCCUCCACCCUCUUUCACACCUCCCGCAUGCCCCUCUCCUUCCAAACCCCCCCUCCCCCUCGCCCCAUGCCCCCCUCACCGUCUGCAUCGAGCAACUGCUCCCCCCGGUACACCAGCUUCUGAGUCAGGUAGUCGCUGUUGGCCGCAGCCGAGAACGAGGGAGAGCCCACCUGCAUGCGCCUGGGCAGCACGCAGCCGUUGUUUGGUGGGCGCGCGUUUUGCAGGAGCAAGUACGCCGCUGUGCUUCACCAGGGAUGAGUGAGGUGAUGUGACAGCGGGGCCAAGCCAGGACCGCCGCAAAGCCCGUCGCCAUGGCGCCUCCUUCCCCCUUCCUCCCUGCUUCCUUGUCCCUUGCUCCCUGUUCCGCCCCCUUCCUUCUGGCCGCCCCAACCCUGCCCCCAUCCCCUCCCCCUUCCCCCAACUCGAUAGGCCUCACCUGUGCAGCGCCCCCAGCACCAGCUCCGCCUGCACUGCGAAGUCCAGCAGCAUGUCCACCGCCUCCUGCUGCCCGCUGCCCAUGGCGUACUCGCCCGCGCAGUAGCCGCUGGAGUCCUGGGCGUUCCAAGGCGCGCCAGCCUGGGGAGGGACAGCGGGUAGGAGCGGAGGUAGGAUCACGGAAGUUGGGAGCGGGUGGGUUGGCAGGUUGGGUGACCGUUUGGUAAUCAGUGUGUGUGUGUGUGUGUGUGUGUGUGUGUGUGUGUGUGUGUGUGUGUGUGUGUGUGUGUGUUAAAGAGCACAAGGAAAACAUUACGCGUAGGACUGUGUGUGUGUGCGUGUGUGUGUGUAUGUGUGCGUGUGCGUGUGCGUGUGUGUGUGUGUGUGUGUGUGUGUGUGUGUGUGUGUGUGUGUGUGUGUGCGUGUGUGUGUGUGUGUGUGUGUGUGUGUGCGUGCGUGUGUGCAUGCGUGCGUGUGUUUCGUCGUGCCCCGCCAGCUGGGAUCCUUCCUAACCGCUCCACCCUGGUCACUGCCAUGGGCCCAUGGCGGUGGGGCACGCCCGCAGUGCACUUGGUUCCAUCACUGCCCAAUGCUGCUGCCACAUCCCUCCCUGCGUUCCGCCAUGCGCCCGCCCCACAUCACCCCACCUGCAGCAGCGCCGCCAUCACCGCGGUGUGCCCCCCCUCCGCCGCCCUCAUGAGCGGACUCACGCCCUCUUCGUCCUGGAAAUCCACGUCAGCCUGCAUGUGUGAUGUGGGAGAGUGACGGUGAUCGGGGCCCGCAUCAGAGAAGAAAAUAUGAGAGCGACGGUGAAUACCCAACGUGCGAUGAGUUGGUAGGAGUGUUGGGCAAUGCAGCUGUGCAGGGCCGUGUCUCUAUGCAAGCACAAGGGCUGGGGCCUGGGCGCCAGGUAGCAUCAACGCAGCGGGGGACUGUGAUGUCUUCAUCCACCGAGUUGCGAGAGGUUGCCAGAGAUAUGGAGCUCAUGGCUUGGGGGAUGGCACGCAAAGGAUGCCGCGGCAGGUUCGACAUGCGCGUGGCCAACGGGCUUAGCACAUGUCCGAGCGAGCGCUGACAUCAUUGAUAGCUUACCUCCAGCUCAAUCAACCGCGACACCUCUUCGGCAUUACCCUCUGCGGCAGCAGCCAAAAGCUGCUCUUCAAUGGACUUUACUUCCGCCGCCGACGGCGCAGCUUCAGGAGCUGUGUGACCUUGUGUCAUUGUUGCGUUAGGCUGUAUAACUAGAAAGCGCGUUGGUUACUGGCCAGGUCGUGUUUGCAUUUUAGUGUUGAGUCGCAGCAGCAAGGUUUGGCCAACGAGAAUACGAAGACAUAGUCAAAUGCAACGGGAAAUUUAUCUGCAUGCAACUUAGCGUUCUGUGGUUGGCGGGCGCUGAAACCCUGGCGCCCAUGCGCCGGGGGGCUGUCCGCUGCGCUCCCCCACCGUCUGCAGACUGAUUCUGUCCGACGGACCGACAGCGGCUUUGGGCUCAUUACAAUCACUCUAGAGAUUAGCUAAUCAUUAAACCGUCUACGAGCUUCGCACGCUUGCCACGCGCUUCGCAAACAUCGGCUUACGCGCGCACUGCCGCACGCCCUCCUCACCGACAUCCGCCAGCACUUCAGACGAACUUGUUUGCUCCUCCAAACGUGGGCUGCCCAUACAGCACACCACUCCUCACCCGCCCUAGAGCGCCGCCUCUUCAACUCACCAAACCACCGCUUUCGACCCUCUGAGCACUUCACAGGGCCAAAUACUAAUCACCACAACCGCCAAUACCCACCCCACGCUUCCACGCCUUAACACUCACGAGCCCUUCAACUCCUGCCAGCCCCUUACAGCCCCUCAAGAUAGGCCCCUGACAGGCCCUUCCAAGUCCCUUCACAGGCCCUCGAACACGGCCAGGUGCUGGUCCAGCGUCUCCUCGUGCCGGAUCUUGCGCAGGCCGCCGUUCUCCACCAUGUACUCGGCCGGCUUCAUCUUGAGGUUGUAGUUGGAGGCCAUGGACAUGCAGUAGGCGCCCGCGUCGUGAACGACAAUGCCGUCGCCCUUGCCUGUAGGUUGAGGUUAAGAAGGAGGAAAGGGUGAUGGGUGGGCAAUCGCCUCAGCCACCCACGUUGUGGGAACUACUCCUGGUGGGAACACCCGUUACCACAGCACAGGACGAGCCUGCCUGUGUUGCAUGGGUGGCUACAGCCCCCCCCCCCCCACACACACACACACACAAAGACACCUCCCCUCCCACGGUCACUCACUGGGGGUGGCCAGCUCGCGGUCCUUGCCCAGGUAGUCGCCCGACUCGCAGAUGGGGCCCACCACAUCAAAGGUCUGGAGUGAUGGGGAAACGGCAAGAACGAGCCAGCGGCCGAAGGGGUCAGCUUGCGAGCAAUGGCUGAAGCGUAGCUGUGUAGCAGAUUGUCACGCUUGCAAAAUGCGCCGGUCAUUCCGCCCAGCCCUCUACCAACCCAGCCGCGAUCCCCCGCCCCGCCCCGCCCCGCCCCGCCCGUUCGCCUUGCAUUCUCCCGUGCCUGCAGCCCGCCCCACGGGCCCGCACCUGCACGGGGGUGCUGUGGGGCUUGGUGAGCUCGAUGUGCUGGUAGGCGCCGUACAGCGAGGGGCGGAUGAGGGUGGCCAUAGAGCCGUCAAUGACAAUGAAGUUCUUGUUACCGUUGGUCUUCACGCCUGGAAAGGGGGAGGGCGGAAGUGGUGGCGGGGUGUAAGUAGAGGUUACAAGGUGGCAGUAGGAAGGGCGGCGACAAUGAGUGCAUCCCUACUGGCGGUAUUACUUAGUAGCAGCUGCAUGAGCCCAACACGUGCCCCUUCACUUUGACACUAACCCAUACUGCCCCCGGC